This 345-nucleotide ribosomal RNA is filed under the name uncultured bacterium. RNAcentral describes it as "bacterial SSU rRNA". It matches the Rfam family "Bacterial small subunit ribosomal RNA", at positions 29 to 399 of the family's 1533-position model. The record is from RNAcentral.
AACGAACGCUGGCGGCAGGCCUAACACAUGCAAGUCGAACGCUCGUAGCAAUACGAGAGUGGCAGACGGGUGAGUAACACGUGGGAACCUUCCCUAUGGUUCGGAAUAGCUCAGGGAAACUUGGGGGUAAUACCGGAUAAGCCCUUCGGGGAAGGAUUUAUCGCCAUUGGAUGGGCCCGCGUCGGAUUAGCUAGUUGGUGAGGUAACGGCUCACCAAGGCAACGAUCCGUAGCUGGUCUGAGAGGAUGAUCAGCCACACUGGGACUGAGACACGGCCCAGACUCCUACGGGAGGCAGCAGUGGGGAAUAUUGGACAAUGGGCGCAAGCCUGAUCCAGCCAUGCCG